Molecule: ribosomal RNA, 249 nt
Filed under: uncultured bacterium
Lineage: Bacteria
Description: partial 16S ribosomal RNA
Rfam family: Bacterial small subunit ribosomal RNA
Source: RNAcentral
UGCAAGUCGAGCGCACCCUCGGGGCGAGCGGCGGACGGGUUAGUAACGCGUGGGAACAUACCCUUUACUACGGAAUAGCCUCGGGAAACUGAGAGUAAUACCGUGUGUGCCCUUCGGGGGAAAGAUUUAUCGGUAAAGGAUUGGCCCGCGUUAGAUUAGAUAGUUGGUGGGGUAAUGGCCUACCAAGUCUACGAUCUAUAGCUGGUUUUAGAGGAUGAUCAGCAACACUGGGACUGAGACACGGCCCAG